ACAGAUAUCUUUAAGGAGACCGUUGAUGGAUUUUCAAAGUUUCAAAGGAUGUACUAUGAUUAUCUCAAUGAUCAUUUAAAAAAAAAGAAGGAUGUAGCAAAAGAUUUAGGUAUUAGAGAAUGGUGUAAAGUUCGAUGCAAACCCACCGAACAGUUAUUUAAAACAUUUAAAAUAAAAGAAUAUAAUGUUUUACCACAGAAAAUUGUCAAUAACUAGUUAUAUUGUAAUUGUAUUAAUCUAUUACCUUUUAUUGUAUUUUAAAAUAUAUAACAUUAAGAAAAAAAUUAGU
Long non-coding RNA from Rhopalosiphum padi (bird cherry-oat aphid), 289 nucleotides. RefSeq lists it as uncharacterized. The transcript is spliced from 3 exons. The record is from RefSeq and is a predicted model, not a curated record. Lineage: Eukaryota; Metazoa; Arthropoda; Insecta; Hemiptera; Aphididae.